UCCUCUUCUACUAUACCUUUUCUAUUGUUAAUUUCUUUAAUUCAUAUGAGAUUUACUCUCUUUGAAGCUAUGCCUUUUUUAUUCUGGUUUUCUCAAAUCUGUCAUUCUUCGAUUGCAAUUUCUUUCAAUUCGGUAGUUAGGCUUUCUUCUUUAUAUUCAUUACAUCUGUUGAAAUAAUAAGGUUUGAAUUUUCGUAGUUUCUGCAAGUUUUCUUUGAUUUCCCAGGGCCUUUUGAAAUUCAGAUAUACAACAUGAGGUGAAGGCGUUCGGUGCGGAAACAUCUUUUAAUUGGAUCCGAACAAUCAAAAGCUUUGUCUCACACUUUCAAUAUCCUAUUGGAGAAGUUGGGACUAUUCAUCGGAUUACUAGUUUACCUUUGAGGAAGAGACAUUAUUUUACUUGUUGCAUUGGUUUCACGGGAUAAUGCAAGGAGCGGUUGCUGUUCUGUUGGAUUUGCAAGAGGAUUUUCUGCUCUGUUUUGUGCAAGGAAGAGCUGUUCUUCUCUCAUUCCAAGGGUGCUUAUAUAUUCAUGUAACAUUUUAAUUAUAUUAAUUCUUGGGUACCAACUUGAUUUCGAUAGCCAAGAUAUUUAAUUUUGAUCAAUUGAACUUUUAUUGCU
Rosa chinensis is the source of this 619-nucleotide long non-coding RNA. RefSeq lists it as uncharacterized. The transcript has 3 exons. The record is from RefSeq and is a predicted model, not a curated record. NCBI's taxonomy places the organism in Eukaryota, Viridiplantae, Streptophyta, Magnoliopsida, Rosales, Rosaceae.